Molecule: ribosomal RNA, 494 nt
Filed under: uncultured bacterium
Lineage: Bacteria
Description: partial 16S ribosomal RNA
Rfam family: Bacterial small subunit ribosomal RNA
Source: RNAcentral
GACGAACGCUGGCGGCGUGCUUAACACAUGCAAGUCGAACGGAAAGGCCUGCUUUCCCUUGUGUGUUCGGGUUACUCGCGUGGGGAACGGGCGAGUAUAACGUGACUUAUCUGCCCCCAACUCUGGAAUAAGCUGGGGAUACUGGGGCUAAUUCCCGCUAGGUCUGCGGGGUGGUGCGGAUGGUGUAGACGGUUUGUCAUGUGCUCGGGGCUGAGCGGGCGGCUGUUCAGGUUGUUGGUGGGGUAAUGGCCUACGAGGGCGGGGACGGGUAGCCGGCCCGGGAGGGGGGACGGCAACAGUGGGACUGAGAUACGGCCCAGACUCCUACGGGAGGCAGCAGUCGGGAAUAUUGCACAAUGGGCGGAAGCCUGAGGCAGCGACGCCGCGUGGGGGAUGACGGCCUUCGGGUUGUAAACUCCUGUCGACCGCGAGGAAGCCACCUGGUUGGAAGGGUGGUGACGGUAGUGGUAGAAGAAGCACCGGCUAACUACGUG